RNAcentral lists this non-coding RNA (86 nucleotides) under uncultured Chlorophyceae. Lineage: Eukaryota; Viridiplantae; Chlorophyta; Chlorophyceae. The record is from RNAcentral.
AUCGGUGAUUUAUGGACUGCCUUGCCCUUGCAGGGAGCUGGGGUGCGACCUGGGCGGAGACAGGGUGCGGCUGCUGCUGAAGCGGC